RNAcentral lists this ribosomal RNA (497 nucleotides) under uncultured bacterium. RNAcentral's name for it is "partial 16S ribosomal RNA". It matches the Rfam family "Bacterial small subunit ribosomal RNA", at positions 28 to 507 of the family's 1533-position model. The record is from RNAcentral.
GAUGAACGCUGGCGGCGUGCCUAAUACAUGCAAGUCGAGCGAACAGAUGAGUAGCUUGCCCCUCUGACGUUAGCCGCGGACGGGUGAGUAACACGUGGAUAACCUACCUAUAAGACUGGUAUACCCUCGGGAAACCGGAGCUAAUACCGUAUAAUCUAUUGAACCGCAGGGUGCAGUAGUAAAAGACGGUUGUUCUUGCACUGAUAGAUGGAUCAGCGCCUCAUUAGCUAGAUGGUGAGGUAACGGCUUACCUAGGCAAAGAUGCGUAGCCGACCUGAGAGAGUGAUAGGCGACCCGGGAACGGAGACACGGACAAGGGUACUACGGCACGCAGCAGUCGGGUACGUUAGGCGAUGGGGGAAAGCCUGGCGGAGUAGCCGAGAGUGAGUGACAACGACGUUGGGAUCGUGAAAAUCUGUUAUUAGGGAAGAACCAAUGUGUACGUAACUAUACCCGUAUUGACGGUACCUGAAGAGAAAGCCACGGCUAACUACGUG